Molecule: transfer RNA, 95 nt
Filed under: Saltatorellus ferox
Lineage: Bacteria; Pseudomonadati; Planctomycetota; Planctomycetia
Description: Planctomycetes bacterium Poly30 tRNA-Arg
Source: RNAcentral
GCGGCGGAAGCCUUCCUGGCGCGACGCCGGAGGCGUUCGCGGCUUUCCGCUCGGAGCUGGCCGAGGCGAGCCGCGUUCUGUCCGCGACCGCCGCG